CGGGACGGGUGAGUAAUGUCUGGGAAAUUGCCUGAUGGAGGGGGGUAACUACUGGAAACGGUAGCUAAUACCGCAUAACGUCGCAAGACCAAAGAGGGGGACCUUCGGGCCUCUUGCCAUCGGAUGUGCCCAGAUGGGAUUAGCUAGUAGGUGGGGUAACGGCUCACCUAGGCGACGAUCCCUAGCUGGUCUGAGAGGAUGACCAGCCACACUGGAACUGAGACACGGUCCAG
Molecule: ribosomal RNA, 233 nt
Filed under: uncultured bacterium
Lineage: Bacteria
Description: partial 16S ribosomal RNA
Rfam family: Bacterial small subunit ribosomal RNA
Source: RNAcentral